AAAGUCUAACCUGCCCGAUGAAGGAAAUUUAAUGGCUGCGGUAUUAUGACCGUACAAAGGUAGCAUAAUAAUUAGUUUUUUAAUUGAAAACUGGUAUGAAUGGUUGAACGAGAAAAAAGCUGUCUCAAUUAUAAUUUUAAUUAGAAUUUUAUUUUUAAGUUAAAAAGCUUAAAUAAGUUUAAAAGACGAGAAGACCCUAUAGAGUUUUAUAUUUAAAGUUAUUUUAAAUUUUUAGUAUAAUUAUAUUUAUAAUAAUUUUUAAUAUUUAAUUGGGGUGAUUGAAAAAUUUAAUGAACUUUUUUAUUUUAAAGUCAUUGAUAUAUGUAUUUAUGAUCCA
This 337-nucleotide ribosomal RNA is filed under the name Endroedyolus paradoxus. RNAcentral's name for it is "partial 16S ribosomal RNA". Lineage: Eukaryota; Metazoa; Arthropoda; Insecta; Coleoptera; Scarabaeidae. The record is from RNAcentral.